AGGAGAGGAGCUGCAGGUCCGGCGGAAAGCGCGAGGGCGGCUGUGCUGCGACAUGAUGAAAGAGGAGCACGAGGACAUUCUUCACUGUCAGAGUUUGCAGAGUCUCUCUGUCUAUUCUGAACACAACGCCUGGAGCAGAGGACAGCGUCUCCUCCCUGGGAGGACUAAUAUGGAGGAAGUACGCCUGGCCCUGCCCUCUCUCUCUCUGUCUGCGCGAGGAAGAAAAGAGCGACCACCGCGAGGUACCGUACGGCGCGAAGGAGACCCAGAGAGAACUAGCCUCUGCCGCUGGCAGCUUUGGGGCUUGCUGACGACACACUGAGCUUCUGUCAUGGCCAUAGUGGGACUCCUGUAGGGUGCCCGUGGGUUUGGGCUGCGUGGGCUGGAAGCCCCGGUCCUGUUGGACAGAGAACACACUGACGGGACAGAGCAGCUGCUCACACCCGCAUGAAAUGCAGCCAGAGUUAGAUUUUUCUUUUAUUUAUUGUUUUUUUGUUGUUUUUGUUUGUAUUGUUUGUUCGGUUAAUUCAUUGUUGUUGA
This is a long non-coding RNA of Sardina pilchardus (European sardine), 540 nucleotides long. RefSeq lists it as uncharacterized. The record is from RefSeq and is a predicted model, not a curated record. The transcript is spliced from 3 exons. NCBI's taxonomy places the organism in Eukaryota, Metazoa, Chordata, Actinopteri, Clupeiformes, Clupeidae.